AGUGAACGCUGGCGGCAUGCCUAACACAUGCAAGUCGAACGGUAGCAGAGUAAGAUGCUGCUUGUACGGGGGGGGAGUGGGGUAAGGGAGAGGUAUACAUCGGGACCUACAUUUUCGUGGAAGAUCAGGUAAUGGCACAUACGACCAGAUAGCAUACGCCGUAGGGGUGAAAGCAGGGGACCGUUGGACCGUGCGCGAUUGAAUGAGGUGAUGUCGGGUUAGUUGGUUGGCGGGGUAAAGACCCAGCAAGGCGACGAGCCGCAGCUGGUCUGGGAGGAUGAUCAGCCGCACUGGAACUGGGACACCGACCAGACUCCUACGGGAGGCAGCAGUGUGGAAUUUUGGACAAUGGUCGCAAGCCUGAUCCAGCCAUACCGCGUGUGAGAAGAAGGCCUUCGGGUUGUAAAGCCCUUUUGUUGGGGAAGAAAAGCUUCAGGUUAAUACCCCGCUAUUGUGACGGUACCCGAAGAAUAAGCACCGGCUAACUACGUG
This 492-nucleotide ribosomal RNA is filed under the name uncultured bacterium. RNAcentral's name for it is "partial 16S ribosomal RNA". It matches the Rfam family "Bacterial small subunit ribosomal RNA", at positions 29 to 507 of the family's 1533-position model. The record is from RNAcentral.